UCGUGAAAGCAUUGAAUUUUUUCUCUAGUACAAUUCAAGCCACAAAAUGCUUAAACAUUCAACUAAAAAUCUGUUGCAAUCACUUCAUUGAAGUGGAAAGAAAUUACAUAAUGAAGAGACAAUGCUUAAACAUUGUGAGAUGCUGGUAUGUCAUCAAAGUCCAAGUUGAUACUACACAUUCCUUGAAUGGCAACUCCAUCCCAUCCACAUCGCAUAACUACAAACGACAAUACCAUCUAGACAAUUCACAUCGAGUAACCCCCUAGGACGACACAAUUACAAAACAACAUUACUUAAAAACUAAAUAGUGAUGAAACUACUAAUGCCUGAAAUGCAAAACUGAAUAAGGUCAUUAAAUUCAGAACUACAGCUCAUUCACGGCCCUUUCCUUUCUUCUCUCCAUCCGUAUUUGCUCUUCCUUUGUGUAUUGUCACGUUAAGAGACAUCUCCACAUAGCGUUGAUCAAAUAGUCGGCAUUGAGAUUGAAACAUGCAAGGUAAUUCUUCAACUCCUUUGCUCCUCACAUGAUUCGUAGAAGUUACGCUGAUUACACUUGCUUCACUGUUAGUCUCGCCAUCUUUCACCACUCCCAAUAUCCACAUUUUGCAGUACAGGUAUUGAAUAAUCUACCCUUGUUUUAGCUCUCUUUCUCUACCUCAAAGCACUUGAUGAAUGCAUGUUUGCACCAUGGGCAAUGCCGUUUCUCCGGACAGUCAGCAAAAAAAUGCCUUUUUUCUCUAUAACAAUGACAUACUCCCUGGUUCUUCCCUGCCAUCGUAAGAUGAAAAUAAAUCACAACACAUCAAAAGUUAUUCAGGAAUAAGAGCUCACAUCCAUUAAAGCAAUCUUAUUGAGUUCACAAAAAGAAGCUGAUUCCAGACAUCUAUAAAAUUCACACACCAUAACGAGAAAAUUCAAAAUUUCAACAUUCAAAGUGCACAAACAGAAGCUGAUUGCUACUGACUACAUCGAUUGCUGAUUUCAGAGUUCACCCAAUUUAGAGUUUACAAACCAAAGCUGAUUUCAAAGUUCACCCGAUUUAGGAGAAAAAAUGGAAGAAAAAAAANNN
RNAcentral lists this long non-coding RNA (1069 nucleotides) under Olea europaea (common olive). Its description in RNAcentral is "long non-coding RNA (OEUR_LNC013264)". The record is from RNAcentral. Lineage: Eukaryota; Viridiplantae; Streptophyta; Magnoliopsida; Lamiales; Oleaceae.